This 492-nucleotide ribosomal RNA is filed under the name uncultured bacterium. RNAcentral describes it as "partial 16S ribosomal RNA". It matches the Rfam family "Bacterial small subunit ribosomal RNA", at positions 29 to 507 of the family's 1533-position model. The record is from RNAcentral.
AGUGAACGCUGGCGGUAGGCCUAACACAUGCAAGUCGAACGGCAGCACAGUAAGAGCUUGCUCUUACGGGUGGCGAGUGGCGGACGGGUGAGGAAUACAUCGGAAUCUACUUUUUCGUGGGGGAUAACGUAGGGAAACUUACGCUAAUACCGCAUACGACCUACGGGUGAAAGCAGGAGAUCUUCGGACCUUGCGCGAUUGAAUGAGCCGAUGUCGGAUUAGCUAGUUGGCGGGGUAAAGGCCCACCAAGGCGACGAUACGUAGCUGAUCUGAGAGGAUGAUCAGCCACACUGGAACUGAGACACGGUCCAGACUCCUACGGGAGGCAGCAGUAGGGAAUAUUGGACAAUGGGCGCAAGCCUGAUCCAGCCAUACCGCGUGGGUGAAGAAGGCCUUCGGGUUGUAAAGCCCUUUUGUUGGGAAAGAAAAGCAGCAGGUUAAUACCCCGCUGUUCUGACGGUACCCAAAGAAUAAGCACCGGCUAACUUCGUG